Eptesicus fuscus (big brown bat) is the source of this 1004-nucleotide long non-coding RNA. RefSeq lists it as uncharacterized. The record is from RefSeq and is a predicted model, not a curated record. Lineage: Eukaryota; Metazoa; Chordata; Mammalia; Chiroptera; Vespertilionidae. The transcript has 4 exons.
AUAGGAGUGAUAUCUGUCGUUCUCUGACUGACUUCUUUCACUUAGCAUGAUACUCUCCAGGUCCCUCCAUGCUGUCUCAAAGGAAAAGUGCUGCUGAAUACUUUGGGAAGCUUAUGGUGAACAUGCUCCAUCUCAAGAUACUUGUGAACACUGGUUUAAACGCUUUAAAUGUGAUGAUUUUGAUGUGAAAGACAAAGAACGUCCAGGUCAACAGAAAAAGUUUGAAGACCAACUAUUCCAAGCAUUACUGGGAGAAGAGAACAGAAGACAGCAGGAGAAAAGGGAAGGAAGGAAAGAAGGAAGGAAAGGACAGACAUCCGGACACAGUUCCUGAUCCCUCCGUGGUCCUCAUUUAAGGUCCUCGCCGGCGCCUUGGGCCUGGGCCCCCAGUGUGGUCGCGGGGGCACGCACAGAAGCAGAUACAAGAUAAAGGACGGGCCGUCCAGCCAAGGUGAGCGGGAGUGUGAUCACCCUGGAGCGAGUGACGCGGGCAAUCAUUCACACAGACGAUUUCUUCUGAGAUGGACAGCUUCUCGCCUGGCCUCGGGGAGCUGGGAGUGUGACCUUGGGCGAGUUAUUUGCUUCUGGGGGCCCUGACACCCCUUGUGAGAUGAGCAGCACCUGCCAGCCGGCCGCCGUGCGUCUGUGAGCCCUGGCCACGCCGGCCGCCCCGCUCCUCCAACCCGGGAGUCACCACCACCUGCCGAGCAGGGCCGGGCAGGGGCGGCUGGCCACCGGCGCCAUCCCGGGUGGCUGAGCCUGGGCUGUCCCCAGUGGUUUGUUUGAACUCAGCUGCGGGCACAUGUUCCCAGGAGGCCUCCGCUAAGGAGACAACAGGGCGGGGGGUCGGUGGUACCGAUGGGCUGUCCUGAGCGGGUGGCACUCCGCGCUGCCCCGGCUUCCUCGUCUGUAGAACGGGAUGGCGAUCCUGUGAAGUGCUUGGUUUUUACUGUUGCUGCUACUGUGACCAUGAGGACGUUUCAACAAUAAAGUCCGAGGUGGCG